UUCCCUCGACCCUGUGGCCCGACUCCUCUGCUUGUAUAGAAACGAACGCCCACGCUCCUCCUCUGCUCUCACAACCCUAGCCGCCGCCCCGUCGCCGGCGCGCCUCCGCGCCGUCGUGCCGUCGUCCGCCGCCGCCCCUCGGCUCUACGCAUCGCCCCGCAAGUCUCCUUCCAUCGCCGCUCGCAGCAGCCGCCCAACGUCCCCGUGCUGUCGUCUCCCUAUCUGCUGCCACUUCCUCCGUUGGUCGCCGCCGGCAGCCGCACGAAGGAGAGCUCCUGGAAGGGCCUGGCCGCAAGAUCCACGGCAGAGAAGCAGUUCUCCCAGCUCAAGAAAUGUCAAAUGGGUCUGCCGAAUGGACCGAUGAGAAUACUCAAAUUAUAGUGGAGUUGUUUGUGAAACAAGUGAAGGCUGGAAACAUGCCAAGCACUCAUUUGACACCCAAUGCAUAUGAUGACGUGGGAAAGGAAUUCUUGCUGAGAACUUGACUUGAGUACACACCAAAGCAAGUGAGGAACAAAUGGACCAAGUUAAAACGUGAGUACAAAACAUUCAAGAAGCUCAAGUUGCGCGAGACUGGAGGGGGCUGGGACUUUGAGAAAAACACUGUCAAACAAGAUAAUAAGUGGUGGAAAAGGGCGAAAGUUGACCUCCCUGGUUGUGGCAAGUUCAAGAAGCAUGGACUUCGUAAUGAAGAAGGCUUGCGCAUCUUGUUUGAGGAUAUCAGUGUUGAUGGCACUGACCAUUGGAACCCCGCAUCUGGUCUACCUCCCCCCUCUAGUUCGGCAUUGAAAACCGCCUUGAAUGUUGAUGAAAUCACCGAUCUUGAUUUGGAGGAGGAUAUCGAAGAGCAACCUUCUCCAUCAGUAGCUAGUUCAUCUAAAGUGAGGCUUGGGGUCACGAUUCCGGAGAAGAACAAGAAACCGAAGACUGCACAAGUGAUGCAAGAGGAGAUUAGAAAUAUUAGUUCUAUUGCCCACGCUUCACACAUAUCGUUUCAAUCUUUCCUAAAGAAAGAUGAGACUGUUUCUGUUGCCUCUACCAUGGAUUUAGUUCGUGAUUGUGGCGCAAUAGACGGCACUGAUGAGCAUUUCAUUGCUACUGAGCUUUUUCUGAAGAGAGAGCAAAGAGAGAUGUUCUUGCACAUGACAUCCGACUCCCGAAAGGGUUGGUUGCGUAGGAGGUUUGACCUCAAGUAUGGGGACUAGUUUGUUCUAUCUUAUCUUAGCUAUGGGAACAACAUUUAUGCGUAUGUUGGCGAAACCUAUUAUUAUCUUGUGCUAUCGGUACAAUAUUUAUGCCUAUGUUGGCAAACCUAUUAUUAUCUUGUGCCCGGAACAAUAUUUAUGCCUAUGUUGCUGAAUCUAUUAUUAUCUUGUCGGUAAACAUAUUUAUUCUUAUGUUGGUGAACAUAUUAUUUUGUUUGAUGCUAACUAUUGUUUGAUAUGGCAGAUGUCAUCGGAUAGUGAUAGUGAGGAUGACAAUAGUUAUGAAAUAAUGAGGAAUUUGGUUAUGCAUCAACAACAUAAUAUGAACAUGCUUUGUUCGCGUGCAGCAGUCAUAUUUGGCAAGUAUUGUGAAAGUUGGGUGAUGAAAGCCGAGCCUCGGAAAUCUAUUUUGUGUGGAUUUGGAUGGCUUCAAGAGACUAUUGCCACACCGGAAGAGACCUACACAAUGUUGAGAAUGACGGCAAGUGUGUUCUUUGAUCUUCAUGACUUGUUGGUACGUGACUAUGGUCUCAAAGAAACAAUCUGUGUUAGCACUUAUGAGUCUCUUGCUAUGUUCUUGUGGACAUUAGGAGGUUGUGAAUCAAAUAGAAGAACUCGAAAUCGCUUCAAACAUUCAGCGGAUACAAUCCAUCGUAAAUUCCAUGAGGUUCUACAGUGUGUAGUGAGCAUGGCAUCUCACUAUACCUUAAGUCACAAGACCCAAACUUCCACAUUGUGCAUGAUCUAAUUAAAAAUGAUAUGAGGGCUUCUCAUCUCAAAGAUUGCAUUGGUGCAAUCGAUGGGACUCAUAUAAGAGCUUCUAUUCCCGAUGGCCCACUGAAACUUAGGUACAUUGGGAGGACGGGCAUGACAACUCAAAAUGUGAUGGCGAUAUGUGACUUAUUGAUAUGCACUUUACUUAUGCUUCAAUUGGGCAACCUGGUUCUAUGCAUGAUACAAAUGUGUUAUACCAUGCAAUUGAGAAGUACAGGCCCUCCUUCCCCCAUCCUCCAAAGGGCAAGUAUUAGCUUGUAGAUGCCGGGUAUCCUAAUAGAGAUGGAUAUCUAGCACCAUACAAAGGAGAAGGGUAUCAUGUCCCUGACUUUCAAAGAGGCGCACCUCCAAAUACUCCUAAGGAGAAGUUCAACAAAAUUCACCCCUCCAAAUGCAAUUGCAUGGAGAGAACCUUUGGAGUAUGGAAAAUGGAAUGGCAAAUUCUCCUCAAGAUGCCAAACUACUCGUUCCAAACACAUAUGAAGAUUGUUGCAGCUACUAUGACAUUGCACAACUAUGUUCGCCUCCAUAACAAAGAUGAUCUCCACUUUAUUCGAUGUGAAAGAGAUCCGGAUUAUGUUCCAACAAUUCCGGAUAGAUACAAGAAGUAUGUUAUUCCUUCCAGUGCAUCGGAUGCUUCUACUUCGGAGGCAAGUGCUCCUGAUAUGGAUAGGUUUAGAAUGAACUAGCUACCGCCAUUGCUCUUGGUUGGUGAAAUCAUGCUCGUGGGGCAAUUUGUAGCUCUUUUGAUUUGCAAACAUAUGCAAAUUUGAUUAAGCUUUUGUUGUACGACAUAUGUCAA
This is a long non-coding RNA of Triticum aestivum (bread wheat), 2781 nucleotides long. RefSeq lists it as uncharacterized. Lineage: Eukaryota; Viridiplantae; Streptophyta; Magnoliopsida; Poales; Poaceae. The record is from RefSeq and is a predicted model, not a curated record. The transcript has 4 exons.